GCUCGCCAGCACAACGUUCCAUUGAGGCGAGCGCGUGCUCCGCCGAGCACAUGGGCGCUCCGCGCUGCCCUGCCUUUUUUAUUUUCCUUUGCACCACGUUAUGGCUUAUUUUUAUUUAUUUUUUCUUUUAUUUUUCAUGCUCCCGGCCCUCCGGACCCCUUUCCCAGAGAGAGAGAGAAAAAGAAAGGGAGGGAGGUUUUGGGGGGGGAAAGGGCGCGGUGCUCCCUAGGUCACCUCAGGUAGCAGAAAGACUGCUUAAAUCUUUGUGCCAGAGACUACAGGAGUUUUCUGCAAGGAAAUGGAGCUCUGCUCUCUGAGGGCCCAGUUUCACAUGGAGGGACUGGACAACCCAGGGUGAUAAGGACCACCACAAAACUCAUCAUAUUCUGCUCCAAGUGCAAGUCACUGGGAUUGCCAUGGCAGCAGCAGCCCUUGGGAUUGUGAUUUCAUCAUGACAGAACAUUAUGUCGGGACAGCCCACACCGAGGGGAGGGUGCAACUGGAGCACCGACGAGAUGGCAGCUGGCUGAGAGGAGCUCGUGCUGAGGUUCCAGCCCCAUGCUUUCCACCACUCUGGAAUAACAUCUGAAGGAGCCCAGCAGCACGGUCCUUUCCAUAGCUUCCAAGGAUUUUUAGGAUCAUGGGAUUUAUGGACCCACAAAACCCUCUGGAGAACAUCAGCUGCGGACAAAAGCAUUGGGAAAUUCCUACUGUCUUUUUGCCCUUUGUUUUCUCCCGUGUCACCGAAUUUGGGAAGGAAGCAUCUCUGUCCUGAGGAUUAUAGCAGAGCAGUUACUCGCCGCCCUUACUGGAAUACGGUUUCUCAAGACGGAGUGAUUAUUGCACAAUGCAGGAUAUUUUUUCCCUUUUGCAGAGCUGUUCUGGUGCGGCAGUCGUCAUGUCCAGCAGGUCUCGCUUGACUGCGAAAAGGAGAAAGGAGGAGCGUGUGCAGGGAGGUCAGGUCCUGCCAGGGCUUCCUGGGAAAUGAGGAGAAAUGAAGAGGGUAAGAUAACCAAGGUCAGCACCUCACUUCAAGCUGCCAGUUGGGCUCCUCAUGGGGAAGAGAACUGCGUGUUUUUAAGAAAAUCACACUUCAGCAGAAGGCUGCCUUCAACAACAGGCCAGAGCACUGUGUGAUGCCAAGGAAAUCAUUUGCUGCAGAGCCCCAAUACUGCAAUCCUUGUUUUUCCUGGGAUAUCUCCCAUGGACCUUCUGGCUGAUUUUUCUCUCAUGAGAUCCAACCUGAUCAUCGUCUGUUGUGGUAUGUGGGGCUUCAAGCCAAGAAUAUCCAUUGUUUUUGAAACAUGAUUAUUACUGUUCAAAAUAGGCUUUUUUCCAUGAUCUUAUAAGAUUUUACCACUUCUCUAAUAAGGUAAUUUUAUCCCUGCUUUGGCAUCUGUACUCCUUGAUGUUAUUUUGGUGUGUACUUUAUAUAUAUCUUAUAUAUAGCUCUGUGCAUGCAUGCAUCACUAUAUGUGAUUUAUAUACAGCCUGCCUUGCCUGUGCUGUCACAGGGAAAUCAUUCUCACUUUUGUGGUGGGGGUCUUGGGUCAGAUGUGUUAGGGCCAUUGCCAGACCUCUCUGUGAACUGUCCCAGUUUGCUUCCCUUCAUCCCCAAAUGAGACCGCUGCUCCUCCUGGGCAAGAGAAGAUAAGACCCAUCUGCUGCUUUAGCUAUGUACAUGUGAGGGGUGCAUGGGCUUUGUAGCUGCAAGGUGGAAGCCCCUAAAUCUCCAAGUUACAGGUGUGUACAGACUUGGGUCCACAAAUGCCUUCCUGUAGUCAAAGCAGAAAUGGGGAAAAUGCCUUUAAAAACUGGGAUAAAACUGCCCUGAAAGAUGAGGGGAAAUGUGCUGGACUGUGCCUGGAGUGCCUGCUGUAGCACAGGUGUGGGUGAAGGCUGAAGGCAGCAGUGGUGGGUGGAGGAGAAGAUCUUCAGGGAGGAACUCUACAUCGGAUGUGAGACUUGAAAGGAAAAUCCUGAUUUGGAUAUUGAGAUGGUUGAUGGUGGUAAGUGGAUCCCCCCGUUGCUUCUUACAGUCCUUACUUUUACUACAUUUUCAUUAUUCACACUGUGGGUAAAACCAGGGAUCUGCAGCCCAAUAAAAAGAGUUAAGUUGUGACAGUCUGAAAUUGUGUGCUACCAUCUCCCCUUCCCUCUUGUCCUCCAUCCCCAGGUCUUUUAGGAUGGGGAAUUUCGAAUGGGUUUGUAUAGAGAAGGAAUUUUGCCUUGCUUUGGGUUGGAAACAAUUGAGUAACAAAUAUUUCCUCCUGAGGGAAGGGGUAAGAAUGUAUUUUGAUGGUGUAUGUGCUAGGGUCACAUGCACAAGCUUAAUAACAAAGGAGGAGGAACACAACAAACCAAUGUGCCUUUGGGGCAGAAAAGGAAUCAGAUUUAACCAUGGGGUCAAGUUGUGGGAGAAAACUGGACCCUAAUGUUCAGCUCCAACCUGAAGGAACCCAUGGAGCAAGAUGGCCACUUAAUUGACCUAUCUUUUGGUCCUGUUUGGAAGAGGAUUUUCUCAUUGCUUGAACAUUAAUGACCUUUAUGGUCUCUGCACUGUCAGCAUCAUGUCUGCAAAGGAGAUGGAGACAUCGUCUGCCGUGACCAUGUCAGUUUUACAUAUUUGCAUAAUGUAAACCCCAGUCAAGCUGAAUAGUGACAGGUGUCUUUGUAAUAGGCAUACAGAGGUUUACAAGAAGCUCUGGAGUUUCUAGAUUGAUAACGUGAAAACAGACACAAAAUGUGUGUGGUGUAGUGUGUGGAGGAGGGUUUGUUUCUUUGUGACAGUUCAGUUUUGGGAAGAAGAUAAGAAGAUGAAGUUAUUAUUUAUUACAGUAAAUCUACCAUGUACUUUGACGGUCAGUUUUGAGAUUGUCAUCUGAGGCAGGUGUUAUGCCCAACAUAAGGGUCUUGGUGGGCUUCAAUUUUAGCUGGAUUUUACAUCAAAUUUCUGGACUGCAGAAGGAUGCAGCUCUUGCUUUGAGGAGUGCUGCAGCUUGCCACCAGUUAAUUGCUUUAAUAGCAUUGGUGGACCUCCAUCCUCAGUACUGGGGCUGUUAUUCUUUCUUGAUUUGAUGAAAAUACCAUUUUUCUAAAAAAAAAAAAAAAAAAAAAAAAAAAAAAAAAGAGAUGUUACAGUUUGAUACAGGCCACAAAGGCGUUAAAACAUUGAGCCUGAGUUUUGUCACUUACUGUCACCUUCUUCAGUGAGAGCUCUGCUGAUGAUAAAAAGGUUUCAGCAGUGUGAAAUUGCUGAAGGAAAGAAAACACUCAGAAGUUUCAGCUUAAUAGUCACUCAAGCCAUAGCUCGUUCUGGAAGGCUCAGUGUGUGUGGACAUGAGUAAGCCUUCAGAGUUCAGCGUGGGCUGUAUCAGCCAGAGUGGGGGUUUCCCAGGUUAGACCUGAAGCUCUCCAGUCAAGAGUUCAAUGUCAUUGCAGCUGCCUCUACAGGAAGGCUUUGGCUAACGCUGUGUGGCAACAGCUGUCAAAAAUGGGUAUUAUUCCCUUAGCAGACAAAGCUAUAACAGGAAAAAUGUCUUGUGUCAACCUGGCCUUUGAAAUUCAAAUGAGUAAGAGCAACCUCACUUUUAAAUGUCAUCAUGUGCUUUGUGUGCUUUCUUCAUAAUUUGGUUGCUUGCUUUUCUGUGGUUACUGCAUUGCAAGGCUUUUGCUUCAAAUGGUGCUUCAACAAAAGGGAAAGGAGAGGAGAAAGUUGUGUGGGGAGUCCUGCGGGGCCGCUGCCCAACUGGAGGUUGUGCUGAUCCGGGAUCGACUCUGAAGCAUCAGAAUAAGCAUUUUGUUCCUCUAAAAGCCCAGCUGAUGGUAGAAAUACCUGCAGCCUCGUUUUCUUUCAUCAUAAAACUUGGGGGAAAGGUGUGUGAAGGAGCACUGCCAACUUUGCUUUGCAGCAUUGCUUUUUACUAUACAUCACGGGUCCGAUUUAGGGUCUUUUUGUGCCUGGUGGGCUCCGGUGCCUGGCAAGCUUGCUUGCGGCAGGGCACGUGCCACCAAAACGCCUCGAGGUUGGCUCGUACCUGUGUUUAUUGCCUUCUGCACAGUGCAGCUUCGGGGUUUGCACCGCCAUGCAGCUCCGUGGUGGACGUCUGCCCCUCCAAACUGAAUCCCGAGGUGUGUGCUGAGCCAUGACUGGAAGUGGGGACAUCCUUCUGCGGGAAGCUGGUUACGGAAAUGAACUGCGUUAUUUUGGGCUACACCACGACGGGCUGACUGGUAGUGAGGUUUCUGCUCUGUCUGUGAUUAACCCAAUGGUGACAAUAAGAACAGAACAAAAAAAAGUCAUUAAAAGUGAACAAAAAAAACGGAAGAAUAUUUUGGAUGCCAGAGGAUGCUCAUCCACAGAACUUAAUUGUUUUAAUUCAGUGAUCAGUUCAAGUUGGCUUUACAGAAUCCUGUCUGAGCAAUGGACAUUUCUGUGGAAUUAAUCAGAAAGAACUGCAGUUGCUUUUACCAUGUGCAGAAAUAGCCCUCAGACUGACGACAAUGUGUAAUAGCAAUGACUGUAGCUGUUGACUUAGCCAGAAAUAUGCAGCCAGUAAAAAAAAAAAUUAAAAAAAAAUCAUCUGUAAGUAUCUCACGGGCCUCUGAAUCUGUGCUGAAAAUCACUCGGAGCUUUAUUGCGAUGGUUGGGUAAGGGAGUUGAAAAGAGUAGAAGGAGUUUUGGGGCAAGGUGCUGAGGUCGGAUCCAUGCUGUGAGAUUGGAUGGGUUGGGAUGAGAUGGAAUGGGAUAGGAUGGGAUGGGAUGGGACGGGACGGGACGGGAUGGGAUUGGGUGUACCAUUGAUGCUGUUUUACUUUGGCAGGGUGGAGGAUCAGUUUUGAAAAAAAAAAAAAAAAGACUGUGGGCACCUUUUUCUCCCUUUAUUGAUGUUGAAAUGCUGUGUAUCCUGUGUUUUAGGAUCUGCCUCAAGGGUCGAUGCACGGCAGUUACAUGAAGCACCCUGGCCUUCUGCAGAGGAUGAGGCAUUGCUAAUCCAAACCACAUGGGUUUGGCUGGGUACAGGGGUCACUGCUUGGGGUGGAUGGGGCAGCUACUGUACACAUCUCCCCUGGUUGCUCACUCCUGGUUUAUGGCACAGCCAAUGCAAAAUGCAGCAGCUGGGGUCUGUACAGCAGUGCUCAUGCGACUGAGGAGACAGAUUUUAUCUUGUCAGGUGUCUAGGAAGGGGUGAAGUGAGCAGCACUGUAUUCCCACCUCAUCUCAGCACCCAUCGCCUUGCAGACCUCAUAUUUUGGCACUUUUCAAAUUGGUGAUGUGCAGAGGGCUUUCAGCUCUAAUCAUGGUGUCGCUAUUUUUCAGCAAAGUUUUUCCUCUCCCUCUGCUUUCAGCAUAUUACUUUUCUAAGGGCAUAAACAGCCAGCCUGGUGUUGUGGGGCAGGCUGCUGGAGCUCAUCUCCGUGGAGCUUAAACUAGGAUGCGGGGGCACAAGCAUGGGCAUGCUGCAGCAAACACCACAGCAGAUGGAGUGGGAGCCUCCCCGGGCCAAUGUGAUCUUCACCCUCCCGUGAUCUCAGCUUCCUGCAACCCCCUGCUUGUAUGGCCCUGCAACCGGUGUGGAAGCAUCCGUGCAGCGCAUCAGCACAUCACAACCUCAGACUGCCACUCAGCUUCUGCAGGGAUUCCAUCAGCAGUGCCCGAUCUCAGCCCAACCCUCGCCUGCUGCCUGUGUUGCCCUCAAUGCACAGAGGUGGCAAACAGGCUGCUUCAAAGCCUCAGCAUCACCUCUUCCAUGUGGGGGAGCAGGAACCUUUUUUGGACAUGAAUUAGCAGAUGAAGGCUGGUGGAGGUGAAGUCUGAAGCUUUUCCACAUUGUGCUGCGGGAGCAUGCCUGCUUCGUGGAAGCUGCAGGGAGUGACGAGCGCUAGGGGAAAGCUCAAAGGCUGCUUUGGUGGGCAAGGGCCAAAAGCUGACAGUGGGAGCAGUCCUGAGUCUGGUAGAGCUGGCUGACAACAAACUCCCUCCUUCACUUGCUUUCCUUGUGGAAUUCAGCGAAUGGAGUUACUGGCAGCAUCGAGUUGGAGAGGAGACGUGGUUUUGCUGGGCACCGUAGGCACUUCCAUUGCAUCAGUGCCCGUGCGUCCUGCAGGCGCAGCCUUCGCCCCGUCGCUGCCGGCUGGGCAGGCACCAGGCUGGCUGCUCCCAUCUAAUAGCUGGAAAUUAAGGCUGGGAGCGAGCAAGAGCUGCUUGGCAGCAAUGUAGAGGACUUGUGUGAUGGAGCAGAGGCUGAAACUCAGGCGAAAAGAUAUUCCUACACAUCAGGAGCUGAGUGCUGCAGAGCACGGUGGGGCACCUCCAUAGCCUCGCAGAGUACUCGUGUACUUUUUCAAAUGGAUGAAGCUGUGACCCCACCAAAACAAUUUCCAAAGAAAACAGUGUUAAAAAAAAUAAAAUCAAAGGUUGGAGUGUUUUGAGGUCUUUACAGCUGCCGCAGCCCCUGCUUGGGGACUAGCCUCGGGCAGGUCGCAGUGCUUACAGGGCAGGGAGCUGGGGAGAGGAGGAGUUAGGGUGGGUUAAAUUCCAGAGAGGGAUGCUGAAUUUCAAGAGUUAUCCUUGGGAAAGGUGGAUCUGCAGGCAUUCGGUGAAAGAGCCGAGAGGAGGAGGUGGAUUAGGUGAGGGCGUGGAUUCCAGGAAAGGGUUUAUUUCUUAGAUUGCAGAUGCUUAAUGUUAUUAGCAUCCAAAUGGCUCCAGCUGGUCUUUGAAGUCAGCAUCUCAUUGAGAAGUAAAGAGCAAAAGAGGUGUGGGGAAUAAUUUAUUUAAUAUGGGGCUGGUGAAUGUAUUUCUCUGCAAGACCUCUGCAAAAAUGUAUUUUUGCUGCAAGAGUUAGCAGCAAGACUAUACGUGGUUUAUUUUGGGAGCAUUGUUUCUGUGAAACACAAGGCAUUUAUCACUUUUGCUGUUUUUUUUUUUGUUUGUUUGUUUGUUUGUUGGUCUUUUCUUUCUCAAUACUCAAACUUGAUUUAUGCAGAAGACAGCAGAAAGCCACAAAACUGGAGCCUCAGUAAUUUCUUUACAUCCACCAUUUCCCAGCGCUCUGGAUUGGAAACCAACCUCAGCAGCUGCUGACUGUCUCGUCUUUCCUCCGUGUGAACCUGUUUCCAGGGAGCCAGCCGGGAGCUGUGACACUUCCCCCUUCCAUCUCCUUCACAGAUCUGCCUUUCACGACCAUUACAACCAGUUCCUGCCCACAGGAUGGCCCAGCAGCGUGCCUUUGAUCCAGAUCAGACGUGGGCUUCUCUGUGGGUUGGGUGCCCAUCAAACCCAACCAUCAACCUGACCUACCAAGUCCCCCCGCGUAGCAGCGUGCCCUGACUCAUCCCUGCUGAAACUGCCCCACUCCCUGCCCCGGGGCUCUGCUUUUCUGGGUGCUUGUUUGGGGCCAUUGCUGAUUCCUGGUGAAGUCUUUCCACCAAUUUUGUCUUGCGCCCCACAUCCCCGUGUUUGUGCCCUACAGCUGCAGCCACCACAUCGUCCCUUUGAGCUGUGGUCCAUGGCAGCUCAGCUAGGGCAGGAUGUGUGGCACAAAGAGAUGAGUUAGGCACUGGUGCUAGUGAAGCAUGGCACAAAAGGGGAGCUGGGAGAGUAGAAUCUGUAAUUUUGGUCAUAAUUUGGGCAUUGUCGGAGCCCUUUCUGAUGAACCUCUUUAAAGGGUGUUUCGGUGUUUUAACAAACAGAAGAGGAAGGGGAACGUGGAGCAGAGAAGGGGUCUCCUGCUGUGCAUGUAGGAGUGAUGGGUGCUCCUGGCUGCUCUUCACCUGUGGCAUGAAGGGGAUGAGAGCAGCUUUCCUGUCUGUUCACUCGCUUUUCUUUCCCACUUGUGCAAUUUUGAAAGCAUUUUGCGUGUUCUUUUCCUCUUCUCCUAGACUAAGUGAUUGUCUUCUCUUUUUUUCUUAGCUGGUUCAUUCAUGCAGAAGUAGGGAAUAGUGAAAUAUUAUUAUUUUUUUCUUCUGAAAAGAGAUAAAUAUGUUUGGUAGUGAGAACAGUUUUUGCUAGUUGUCUGAGGCAGCUUGAAAUUCUUAAGGAAAAUCAGAAUUGUUCCAUUAGGGCAAGCUGCUUGCAAGCAUCUUGCUUAACAGGCCAAAAAGCCCCGAACAAAACCAAAACAGAAGCAAGCACCAUUCUUUCCAGCUAUGAAAUUUGCAUCUGAUUUGGAGUUUUGGUUGUAAGCAGUUUCCCAGAAAAACAAAACGAGCCUUUUGUACAUAUGUUAUUGCCUUCCCUUCCUCCUCCUUCUCCUCCUUCUGCUGCUCAUCGCCUGUGUGCUGGGCUUUCACCCUUCUGCCACCAACAGGGACAGCACCACUGGUGUCCCCAACCCUCCUCUAUCCUUGCGCUGGCUGCAGCACUCAUCCAGCCACAGCACACUGUGCUGUUAGAAAGGGGAGAUGGGGCGAGCCUACCUGAUUUUUGGCUGUGUUGAGUUGCUAGACUCAUGCCAUGUUGUAGUACUGAACUGUGAGUUUCAGCCCAUUCCGCCUCACCUAUUGGGAUUACAUCCAUGUGAUUUAUAGGAUGAAAAAGUGUUUUUUUUUUUUUCUUCCCCCUCUCCAACUGCUUCAAGAGUUCCGAGGUAUAGAAGGUCAUUGAUUUUCUUCUUUUCUCCCUCAAACUGUAUUGAAACUAAUUCCAGGCCUCCAUAAAUAAAUACAGCAUAGGGCAAAAUUUUAUUUCAACAGAAGGGAAAAGUCCAGUACACCAUCAGCUCCUUCUAUUUCAGCACGUGGUUGUCUUGUCACCCACCUACAUCUAGAAAUAUGCUUUCUUCUCGUGUGUUUACAGAGGCAUUCGAGCUCAACAUGAUCGAGCCUGGUGGUUGCUGGGAUGGUUGGACAGGCACUUCCAGGUGCCAUCUGUACACAAGGACGUUGGUGAUGCAGCAAAUGGCUGUUUUCACAGGGCUGUUGGACUUGCCUUUUGAUGAUCACUUAGGAUCUUAAAGCCUUUGUACAUUCACAUUUAUCUUUGUGUUGGCUGCAUUUCAACUCACUUUCUUCCCUGUGAACAAGUUCUAUUCUGUUGAAUAAACCGUUCCUCGCAAACCA
Molecule: RNA transcript, 9060 nt
Organism: Cygnus olor (mute swan)
Lineage: Eukaryota; Metazoa; Chordata; Aves; Anseriformes; Anatidae
Exons: 8
Source: RefSeq, a predicted model, not a curated record